This 685-nucleotide long non-coding RNA is filed under the name Elaeis guineensis (African oil palm). RNAcentral's name for it is "long non-coding RNA (EGUI_LNC033090)". Lineage: Eukaryota; Viridiplantae; Streptophyta; Magnoliopsida; Arecales; Arecaceae. The record is from RNAcentral.
UCUCAUUAUAAUCAAGUCCAGUUGGUGCCAGAGUCCCCUACUUUUUGCAAUCUUAAAAUAUGAUCCACCCCCGCAAGUAGUACAAGCAAACAAAAGAAAAGUUUUUAGUGCUUGAAUUCUAUCAAAGAAACAAAGAUGAGGAUUACUUUUACCUUGUGGGAAUAUGAUAUGAAGCUUUGUCUUGUUCAAUUCGUGAAGAUUAUACAACUCAUAAAGCUUUUUUGUAACUUAGCUAAUACUUUCAGCUUCAAUAUCUGCAAUUCUAGUCGCAAACUAUCCCCAGCAUUUAGAAAUGAUGAGAAGUAUGUUCUCUAAUAUCUAAAAGAUGGAUACUUCACACCAUAGGAUGAAUUUUCAAUUAAAAAGCUAAAAGGUUUUUCCACGAGAUGGGAAAACAAUUAUUUUUUCAAGUUUUAAUUUCGUAGUAGCUAAAUUCCACAAGCAAAAGGAGCUUUAGUCCAGGAGGAUUACCUAACUAGCCCGAACCAUUUUUCCAAUUUGAGUAGGUCUAGAAAAGAGGUGGGAGCAAGUUCUACCAUAUCUAAGACUUAAUCAUGAAGAAAGAUAUUAAAAAGUUAUAAACUUUAGUACAUGAAAAAUUUAAGGAUAAUUCGAAAAGGGCAUAGCUCCUAUAAAAACUCUUUCCAACCAUCACCAUCAACUUAAUAUAAUACAUCUAGCCUCC